UGGGGAAUUUUGGACAAUGGGGGCAACCCUGAUCCAGCCAUCCCGCGUGUGCGAUGAAGGCCUUCGGGUUGUAAAGCACUUUUGGCAGGGAAGAAAAGGCUCUGGAUAAUACCUGGAGCCGCUGACGGUACCUGCAGAAUAAGCACCGGCUAACUACGUGCCAGCAGCCGCGGUAAUACGUAGGGUGCAAGCGUUAAUCGGAAUUACUGGGCGUAAAGCGUGCGCAGGCGGUUCGGAAAGAAAGAUGUGAAAUCCCAGGGCUUAACCUUGGAACUGCAUUUUUAACUACCGGGCUAGAGUACGUCAGAGGGGGGUAGAAUUCCACGUGUAGCAGUGAAAUGCGUAGAGAUGUGGAGGAAUACCGAUGGCGAAGGCAGCCCCCUGGGAUGAUACUGACGCUCAUGCACGAAAGCGUGGGGAGCAAACAGGAUUAGAUACC
This 439-nucleotide ribosomal RNA is filed under the name uncultured bacterium. RNAcentral describes it as "bacterial SSU rRNA". It matches the Rfam family "Bacterial small subunit ribosomal RNA", at positions 355 to 786 of the family's 1533-position model. The record is from RNAcentral.